UACGAAGGGGGCUAGCGUUGUUCGGAUUUACUGGGCGUAAAGGGCGCGUAGGCGGCCACCGCAAGUCAGUUGUGAAAUCUCUGGGCUUAACCCAGAAAGGUCAACUGAUACUGCGGGGCUAGAGUGCAGAAGGGGCAACUGGAAUUCUCGGUGUAGCGGUGAAAUGCGUAGAUAUCGAGAGGAACACCUGCGGCGAAGGCGGGUUGCUGGGCUGACACUGACGCUGAAGCGCGAAAGCUAGGGGAGCGAACGGG
RNAcentral lists this ribosomal RNA (254 nucleotides) under uncultured bacterium. RNAcentral's name for it is "partial 16S ribosomal RNA". It matches the Rfam family "Bacterial small subunit ribosomal RNA", at positions 524 to 776 of the family's 1533-position model. The record is from RNAcentral.